Molecule: ribosomal RNA, 253 nt
Filed under: uncultured bacterium
Lineage: Bacteria
Description: partial 16S ribosomal RNA
Rfam family: Bacterial small subunit ribosomal RNA
Source: RNAcentral
UACGUAGGGUGCGAGCGUUGUCCGGAAUUAUUGGGCGUAAAGGGCUCGUAGGCGGUUUGUCGCGUCGGGAGUGAAAACCUACAGCUUAACUGUGGGCUUGCUUUCGAUACGGGCAGACUAGAGGUAUGCAGGGGAGAACGGAAUUCCUGGUGUAGCGGUGAAAUGCGCAGAUAUCAGGAGGAGCACCGGUGGCGAAGGCGGUUCUCUGGGCAUGAUCUGACGCUGAGGAGCGAAAGCGUGGGGAGCGAACAGG